GCGGGCGUGGCUUAGUGGUAUAGCGUCUCCUUGCCAAGGAGAAGGUCGCGGGUUCGAAUCCCGUCGCCCGCU
This 72-nucleotide transfer RNA is filed under the name Anaerolineae bacterium. RNAcentral's name for it is "tRNA-Gly". It matches the Rfam family "tRNA". From Rfam's summary of the family: Transfer RNA (tRNA) molecules are approximately 80 nucleotides in length. Their secondary structure includes four short double-helical elements and three loops (D, anti-codon, and T loops). Lineage: Bacteria; Bacillati; Chloroflexota; Anaerolineae. The record is from RNAcentral.